Molecule: long non-coding RNA, 6176 nt
Organism: Piliocolobus tephrosceles (Ugandan red Colobus)
Lineage: Eukaryota; Metazoa; Chordata; Mammalia; Primates; Cercopithecidae
Exons: 3
Source: RefSeq, a predicted model, not a curated record
AGUAGAGAUGGGGUUUCACCAUGUUGGCCAGGCUGGUCUCAAACUCCUGACCUCGGGUGAUCCACACACCUCGGCCUCCCAAAGUGUUGGGAUUACAGGCGUGAGCCACUGUGCCUGGCCUGGAUACAGGGUCUUCAGCAACUAUGUGACUAACAAAUAUUAAGCCACAAUCUACUGUUUGCCUUUCAAUGCUCUUAAUGGUACCUUUUGAAGAACAGAAGUUCUUCAUUUUGAUGAAGUUCAAAUUAUUAAGCAUUUAUGUUAUAUAGAUUGUGCUUCUGUUGUGAUAUCUAAAAAAUCUUUAAUCUUUGCCUAGACCAAGAUCACACAGAUUUUCUCCCAUGUUUUCUUCUAGAAGUUUUAUGGUUUUAGAUGUUUAUGAAAAGCCAAUGAUCCGUUUGGACUUUAUUUUUGUAUAAAGAGUGAGGAAUGGCUCAGAUUUGUUUUUUUAAGUACAGGUAUCUAAUUGUUCUUGUACUUUUUUUUAGUCUUUUCUCCAUUGAACUGUGUUUGUACUUUUGUAGAAAAUCAAUAGACUGUAAAUUUACAAGCCUAGUUUUGGCUUUCUAGUUUUCCAUUGGGCUUUAUGCUUAUUCUUUCUCCAACAACACAAAUUGUCUUAUUAUUUAUAUACCUUUUAAAAUAUUUCUAAAUCAUUGCCCUAUGGGACAAAAUAUACAUUUUUAAUUAUGCAGUAUCUACUUUCAAAUAAUACUGUGCUGCUUCACAUGUUGUACAGGAUCUUCUAACAGUAUACUCCUAAUUCUUCCCUCUUGUAUUUUGUGCAAUUGUUGUCAUGUAGUUUACGUUUAAAUUUGUAUAAACAUAUAAUACAUUGAUAAAGUAUUUUUGCUUGAGACAAGGGAUUGACAAACUAAAUGAGAUAGUGGGACUGUAAUGAAUGAGAAACAGAUGUUUAUUGUGAUCAUCUGUUGAUAUUCUGAAUUUGUUUAUCCAGCAAUUAUCCUAUCCUAAUUUGGUGGAGAGAGGAGCCUGUGAACUGCUGCUCCCAGGUAACUUACAAUCUGAUUGAAGAGGAUGUAUCACGUAUUCUUCAAUUAAAUGCUGCUUAGACCAGUUGGCUUGAAUUGGUCCUUUUUAUUUCUCUAUGUUUUUUUACUGGCCUUAAUAACCUGGAUGGAGAAAAAAAAAAUGCAGUCUGAGAUGCGGUCAGUGAGUGGCCCCUCCUCUGUUUGCAGUCACUAUGGCCUUCUAAAGUGUAUGUCAUCUUCUGAUAAAAUUAUUUUGUUCCCACCCUUCUAAUACAUUGGUCUAUCUUGGAUCAUACUCCCAAAGUGAUUAUCUGACCUGAGAAAUACACUCCAACUUAGCAAGGUCAUAUAUGCAUAUUUCUCAAGUCUUGGCCUCCACUCCUACAGAGACAGCAGGCAGUGCAACUGACACCUGAGACUUGGGGAAGAGCACCAAGUAGUGGCAGGAGAUGGGUAGGAGGGUGUGGUGGAAGGUCAAGAGUAGGGGUUUACAUGGACUCAAGUGCCCUGAACUAUGGUAGGUGCAGGCGUGGUGGGACUGGCUAGGGAAAUGUGUCCUCAAAGUGUCUAUUGUCUGUCUACUUUCAAAGACAUUACUCAGAAUGACUUUUCCAACUCUGGGCAAGGUUUCUGCUUUAGACUUGUAGUGUUACUGAGGAGCUCUUUCUUGGGCUCUGUGUGCAUAACAGUAUGCACCUCUGCCUUGAAAAGCCCAUGUUCUCUUAACUGUGUAUCUAGAAUACGUGUUUCCUAAGAGGGAGGUUCCUCAGUUCUGGGAGAUGGACGUGUACUAAAUAUCAAUGUCUUUCAUUCCAUAUCCUGUUCAAUGGCUCCAGUCCAGCUUUCUGACAGAAAGCAAAAAAUAUCACCCCCUUGGAGAGCUGACUUUGCUCCAUGCAGUUCCCACCUUUAUGAUGCUAUGAACUCCAGAUGUCAGCUGUAGUUUUUCUCCACUUUUUGACAGUGUGAAGAAUGUAAGUCGAACCUUAUCUCCUUCCUUACAUUUCACUGUGUCCUCGUUUCUAACCACCAAUACUUCCAUUUCCCCAGUCUUGUCACUUAGGUCAAAUAAUACAUUUUUCUUCUUUUCUGUUACCUGUGAAAGAAAAUCAACACCCAGCCUCUGAUAAUCUGAUUAAGGAAUACCACAUCAGUCACACAUCAGACAUGCCAGAAGAAGGCUCUAAAAAGAAAUACAGUUAAUUCUUGAACAACACAGAUUUUACCUGUGCAGGUCCAUUUAUAUGGGAAUUUUCCUCUGUCUCUGCCACCCCAAGACGGCAAGACCAACCCUCCUCUUCCUCCUUCCUCCUCAGUUUACUUAACAUGAAGACAGCGAUGAAGAACUUUAUGAUGAUCUACUUCCACUUAAUGAAUAAGACAGGUUUUGCCACGUUGGCUAGGAUGAUCUGGAACUCUUCAACUUUAGUGAUCCACCCGCCUUGGCCUCCCAAAGUGCUAGGAUUACAGGCAUGAACAGCCGUGCCCAGCCUGAAGACAGCUAUUUAAAACAACAAGUCCAGGAGAGACAUGAGGAGCACCUCUGUCCGGCCACCCCACCAUCUGGGAAGUGAGGAGGGCCUCUGCCCGGCCGCCCCACUGUCUGGGAAGUGAGGAGGGCCUCUGCCCGGCCGCCCCACCGUCUGGGAAGUGAGGAGCGCUGUGCAACCUUCCAAGUGUGAAGUGACAGCCUUGUACGUGAUCUUUUCUGUCUUCCCCAAGUUUGCAUUUUCGACAUUAAAGUUUACUUCUAAUUAAAAAUAAAUAAAUAAAUAAGUCUCCUCAAGCUAACUCUUUCUUCUGUUUUCUUCAUUUAAUCACAGUUCUUUAAUCCUGCCUUGCAUAUUGGUUUUUCAGGUCAAUUAAUCUGGUUGAUUAUUCAACUACACUUAUUUUGCAUUCACAACAAUAGUCACUUAAAAUAAAGAUAAUACGGACAACGCACAAAAAUAACGCAGAAAUAAAAAUUAUGUGAAUGAACUAAUUCCUUUUUCAGAGGCUACUGGGAUAAGAAUAAGUUGAAACAGGAUUGUGACAUUUUUGACAAUAAAAACAAUUUUUGAGUUUUUGUAUGAAUUUUGGCAUGUUAACUCUGCAGUUCUUUAGAACUUUGUAUUUUUUUAGUUUGUCUAUAUAGAAAGACAUUAAAACCAUUUCUAAAGUCUCUUUAAGAUCAGAUGGAAAAUACGUUAUUCUUACUAAUCAAUAUGAAAUUAGAUAUGAAAACUUACCUUCUGGACUACAAACAACCCAUUCACAAUUGUUCCAAGGGGCUGAGUUUGAAGCGUGUUGAUCUUUGGGGUUUCACCAGCUUUUCUGAUAAUGUUCAGCGGGACAUUAACCUUUUGGUCAGAUUUAGCAUCUAACACACAUGAGGUGCUAUUUACCUCUAAGAAACCACUGUGCUGAUAAUAUCUUGAUAUUAUAAUCAUUCUCUUUGGAAUGAAUUUAUCUUUCAGCAGUGUAUUAAAAACUUUUACAAAGAAGAAUUCCUUCUCUGUAGCCACUGUAGCAUGAAACAUCUCUUGCUUGCCUUCUUGGGUCUCAAACGUGAAGGGCUUUGUUGCUUUCAGUACCAUAACUGGCAAACAGUCUUUCUGAAACCCUUCUCUGAUAGAUUCCUGCUGGGCCACCCUCUGUUUCUGCUCAGGCUGAAGACAAGAGAAGAAAGAUAUCAGCUGUGAGUCAAAAAGGUACUAUUGAAAGGAACUUCCUUCACCCACAGUGCUAAGCCUCAGGAAGCCACAGAAGACAGGUGGAAUCAAGGGAAGAGACACAGAAGGGAUAAGAAGAGACUUGAGGCCUAGAAUGAUCUAGAUGGAACAGAGAGUGCAGAAGGAAGAUUUCAGCUCCUGUAUUCAGAUAAGACGGUGUAACAUGUUUUGGAGGUAGGAUCCCUGAAACUAAAUCCUUGCUUUGCCAUGCGCUAUAUAAAAAGACUUCAUCAGAUUUCUGAAAUAUUUCUAAGCCUCGGGGUAAAUCUGAUAAAUCUGAUUCCAUCUUCUAUGAUUCCAUUCGGGCAUAAUAUAUCCUUAUUUCUCUAUCCAAUACUGUCCUAAACAUUCUUUUUACUCUGGUAUAAAAGUGAGGGAGCUCAGUGACCUGCACAGGGCUCCCCAAAUUCCUAGGGAGGUGUUGUACGUAACAAAAUGUAGAUUAUGUUUAAUGUGAGUUAAGGGGGAGACCUAGGUCAGAGAUCUUACAAGUGAGUUAAAGGAGAAAUUUAAAAGGAGAAUUCAUACUACAUUAAUGGAUUUACCCUUAAAUAAUGAAUUAUGCACUAAGGUUUACAUUUCAAAAAUGCAUCUUAUUAUUUGAAAUUAUAAAAAAAGAAAUAAUUUAAAUAUCUAAAAAGUAGAUUUAGUUAAACAAAAUAUGGUAUAGUCAGAAAUAGAUUACUAUGCAAAUAUUAAAAAUGCUUUAGAGAAAUAAUAUGAUAAACUGUUAUAACUGACUCAAUACAGGGAAAGGUCCUAAACAGAUAAAAAAUCUCUUUCUUUUUGGAUAAAUAAGUAGUUAAAGCACACACACAAACACAAUACAGAGAUAUUUACCAACAUCAAUAUAUUUUUUUCCUAGAUGAUACAAUUAUAGGUAAUUUUAUUCGCUUCUCUGUGUUUUUUAUUUUUCUGAAUUAACAGAGAUAAGAUACCUUUUUUGGUUUGUUUUGGGAGAAAAUACUACUUUUUAAAAGCAACUUGCCAUCUAGAACCAAAUGGAAACACAGGGAAAAACAAACAGAGGCAUAAAAAGUCAAGUGUAGGAGUCUCUGAAGGCUGUCUCUGAUGUGACCUGAAGCUUGGGCCAGUGGAGCUUGGGCCAGUAAGGGGCCCUGAUGGGCAGUAUAACUGAUUGCAUUUGGAUCAAUGCAGGGAAAGGUCAGCUCCACUGAGUUCCACUACAAAAGUCCUUCUCUUUGGUCCAUGUAUCUUUAGUUGAGUCUUCCAGACUGAAUAAUGCAUAUUUUCAUUACUGGUGAUGGAAUCACACCAUUUAUACUUGAACCUUGUUUUCUGAAAAUCCAGAAGUUUCUGGGCCAAACCCAGAGGAAAUGGCUCCUCUAGACAAAGAGAAUGAAGUAUGUGUCAUCAGUUUCUAGAGCUCACACAGUUAUAAAAUGGUGUAACACCUGCUUCACAGGAAAUGAAAUUGCAUGUGUGGUGGAUUCUGUGUUGGGCCUUUCCGAUAUUGCCUGCCACUUCCUCAGGACUAAAGUAAUCAUUCUCAUCAAUGAGACUCUCCAGGCACUACUCUCUCAGCUAAACGGGGCCACCUCACCUUGUCCAUGCAGGUGUAUUAAGGGCUUUUUUACAUUACUUUUAAAAAGCAAUUUGCUGUCAAGAACUAAGGGAAAAUACAGGGGAAAACGAACAGAGGCAUGCCAGGUCGAGUGUAAGAGUCUCUGCAUUGGAUCUCUGAUGUGACCCGGAGCCUGGGCCUGUGCAAACCACAGGCUCCCCCACAAAUCUUGGGAGCCCUGAAAGGCAUUCUCAGCUCCUGAGCUCCCUGUGGGGUAGGCCAAGGCCUCUAUUGCAACUACAUUGGACUUGACAUUCUUCCUCUUCUACUCCUUUCACUUCCUCACAGAUAUUAAUUCUGAAAGUGUUCUAAAAUAGACUUCCUGUAAACAACUGUCUAUCUCAAAGUUUUCUUCUUAUAGAAUCCAAACCGUAACGGAGUGUUAAUGUGUCCAGGCCCUGACAGAGAUUAGAAGCUCAACAGGUGUUUAAUCUGAUUAAUCAGACGUAGUUCUUGUUUUUGUGACUCAGAGUGCUUUUCACACUGUGGCCUUAAUUCCUUUAUUUGCAUGCUGUGAGACAAAGAACAGAGAACAAUGUGGGAAAUAACAAUGACAGUGAUGCUCUUACAAGGACAAAGACCACUCCACUCUCCUCAUCCUACCUUAACAUGAGGAGAGACUUUUGGUGCAGCACGUUGCUUUGUGACAUCAUUUCUGAUGGCUGCAGAUGCAGCAGGACUCAUUUCAGCUUGACUUAGUGGCUUUGGUUUUGUUACCAAUUUGUAUUUCUUAUCAACUGAUUAAAAAAUGAAAGACAUGGACAAUAAGCAUAUAAACAUAUGAGCAAUGCACAUUUUCAAAUGUCACCAGAAAUAAAUACUAAAACCAUAUUAAGGUAUCUUUAAGAGCAGUUAAUUUUUCUCAAGAAAAAAAAAAAAAAAAAA